GCCUAAUACAUGCAAGUCGAGCGAACGGACGAGAAGCUUGCUUCUCUGAUGUUAGCGGCGGACGGGUGAGUAACACGUGGAUAACCUACCUAUAAGACUGGGAUAACUUCGGGAAACCGGAGCUAAUACCGGAUAAUAUUUUGAACCGCAUGGUUCAAAAGUGAAAGACGGUCUUGCUGUCACUUAUAGAUGGAUCCGCGCUGCAUUAGCUAGUUGGUAAGGUAACGGCUUACCAAGGCAACGAUGCAUAGCCGACCUGAGAGGGUGAUCGGCCACACUGGAACUGAGACACGGUCCAGACUCCUACGGGAGGCAGCAGUAGGGAAUCUUCCGCAAUGGGCGAAAGCCUGACGGAGCAACGCCGCGUGAGUGAUGAAGGUCUUCGGAUCGUAAAACUCUGUUAUUAGGGAAGAACAUAUGUGUAAGUAACUGUGCACAUCUUGACGGUACCUAAUCAGAAAGCCACGGCUAACUACGUGCCAGCAGCCGCGGUAAUACGUAGGUGGCAAGCGUUAUCCGGAAUUAUUGGGCGUAAAGCGCGCGUAGGCGGUUUUUUAAGUCUGAUGUGAAAGCCCACGGCUCAACCGUGGAGGGUCAUUGGAAACUGGAAAACUUGAGUGCAGAAGAGGAAAGUGGAAUUCCAUGUGUAGCGGUGAAAUGCGCAGAGAUAUGGAGGAACACCAGUGGCGAAGGCGACUUUCUGGUCUGUAACUGACGCUGAUGUGCGAAA
Molecule: ribosomal RNA, 730 nt
Filed under: uncultured Staphylococcus sp.
Lineage: Bacteria; Bacillati; Bacillota; Bacilli; Caryophanales; Staphylococcaceae
Description: bacterial SSU rRNA
Rfam family: Bacterial small subunit ribosomal RNA
Source: RNAcentral